GGCAGAAAUGGCGAUGGAGUUCGCUAUAACCACUGCUCGGCAGUUGGAGCAGUUGAUAACUCCUACCUCGUC
RNAcentral lists this non-coding RNA (72 nucleotides) under Candidatus Fraseribacteriota. RNAcentral describes it as "Candidatus Fraserbacteria Fluoride sequence". It matches the Rfam family "Fluoride riboswitch aptamer (crcB RNA motif)". The record is from RNAcentral.